GGGACAACAGUUGGAAACGACUGCUAAUACCGCAUAAUGUCUACGGACCAAAGGGGGCUUCGGCUCUCGCCUUUAGAUUGGCCCAAGUGGGAUUAGCUAGUUGGUGAGGUAAUGGCUCACCAAGGCGACGAUCCCUAGCUGGUUUGAGAGGAUGAUCAGCCACACUGGGACUGAGACACGGCCCAGACUCCUACGGGAGGCAGCAGUGGGGAAUAUUGCACAAUGGGCGCAAGCCUGAUGCAGCCAUGCCGCGUGUGUGAAGAAGGCCUUCGGGUUGUAAAGCACUUUCAGUCAGGAGGAAAGGUUAACGGUUAAUACCCGUUAGCUGUGACGUUACUGACAGAAGAAGCACCGGCUAACUCCGUGCCAGCAGCCGCGGUAAUACGGAGGGUGCGAGCGUUAAUCGGAAUUACUGGGCGUAAAGCGUACGCAGGCGGUUUGUUAAGCGAGAUGUGAAAGCCCCGGGCUCAACCUGGGAACUGCAUUUCGAACUGGCAAACUAGAGUGUGAUAGAGGGUGGUAGAAUUUCAGGUGUAGCGGUGAAAUGCGUAGAGAUCUGAAGGAAUACCGAUGGCGAAGGCAGCCACCUGGGUCAACACUGACGCUCAUGUACGAAAGCGUGGGGAGCAAACGGGAUUAGAUACCCCGGUAGUCCACGCCGUAAACGAUGUCUACUAGAAGCUCGGAGCCUCGGUUCUGUUUUUCAAAGCUAACGCAUUAAGUAGACCGCCUGGGGAGUACGGCCGCAAGGUUAAAACUCAAAUGAAUUGACGGGGGCCCGCACAAGCGGUGGAGCAUGUGGUUUAAUUCGAUGCAACGCGAAGAACCUUACCUACACUUGACAUACAGAGAACUUACCAGAGAUGGUUUGGUGCCUUCGGGAACUCUGAUACAGGUGCUG
RNAcentral lists this ribosomal RNA (901 nucleotides) under Pseudoalteromonas sp. RNAcentral's name for it is "bacterial SSU rRNA". It matches the Rfam family "Bacterial small subunit ribosomal RNA", at positions 140 to 1043 of the family's 1533-position model. The record is from RNAcentral. Lineage: Bacteria; Pseudomonadati; Pseudomonadota; Gammaproteobacteria; Alteromonadales; Pseudoalteromonadaceae.